Molecule: ribosomal RNA, 617 nt
Filed under: uncultured Anaerococcus sp.
Lineage: Bacteria; Bacillati; Bacillota; Tissierellia; Tissierellales; Peptoniphilaceae
Description: bacterial SSU rRNA
Rfam family: Bacterial small subunit ribosomal RNA
Source: RNAcentral
AACGAUGAAACUUAAAUGAUUUCUUCGGAAUGAACUUAAGUGGAUUAGUGGCGGACGGGUGAGUAACGCGUGAGUAACCUGCCUUACGCAAGGGGAUAGCCGUUGGAAACGACGAAUAAUACCCUAUGAAACUAUCACUUCGCAUGAAGCGAUAGUCAAAGUGUUAGCGGUGUAAGAUGGACUUGCGUCUGAUUAGCUAGUUGGUGAGAAAAAAGCCCACCAAGGCAACGAUCAGUAGCCGGCUUGAGAGAGUGUACGGCCACAUUGGGACUGAGACACGGCCCAGACUCCUACGGGAGGCAGCAGUGGGGAAUUUUGCACAAUGGGGGAAACCCUGAUGCAGCGACGCCGCGUGAUUUAGAAGGCCUUCGGGUUGUAAAAAUCUUUUGUAUAGGAAGAAAAUGACAGUACUAUACGAAUAAGGUCCGGCUAAUUACGUGCCAGCAGCCGCGGUAAUACGUAAGGACCGAGCGUUGUCCGGAAUCAUUGGGCGUAAAGGGUACGUAGGCGGGUCAUUAAGUUAGAAGUCAAAGGCUAUAGCUCAACUAUAGUAAGCUUCUAAAACUGGCGACCUUGAGUAAUGGAAGGGAAAGUGGAAUUCCUAGUGUAGCGGUGGA